UCUCUCGAGGGAGUGUCUAACUCGGUGUCACAGUGUGUUUGACCCUAAAUUAAUUUCACGCCGGAAUAUCCCUUUAAGUAAUUUCUGAAAUCACAUACUUGCCCACUACCUCCAUCAUACUCAAACAGUUUUACAGCAGCUGUAGGUGAAGAGAUUCUCUUGCAAGAGAAUGUUAAUGCUUGGUCCGCUGCACGACACUUGAGGCAGAUGCUCACCCAUGCUAGUUUAUUCCUGUUACCGGCAGCACUUUGUCUCAGUCAGUGCCGGUUAGCGCUAAAGCAGCACAAAAAGACCGUUAACAGGCCGGGUGCUUUGCAGAGUACAGGAUGACAGGUUUCGAAGAGACUACUGUCUCUGCUUCUCCUGUCAGAGGUACUGUGAGGGCUGGAACAUGCAAAAAUAGACUUAAAGACGAGGAAAGCAUCAAUCCAACUUUGUAAAUCCAGAGCUGGACUCAGAUUGCAUUGUGGGACAGUGAGUAAGUGUCAUACUUUAAAAACUCUGGCCAAUCAGAGACAAUGAAUCUGGAAUCAAAUACUAAAUAUAGUACGAGUAUGUGGUUUCAGAAAUAGUCUUUGCGGGUCAUAAAACUCCAGUGUUGUGCCUGAACUUGAACUAACUUCGUCUGAGACCGAACUUACAAGGUUAAAUAACAUGAUUAUGUGCAUAAAGCACAUUUUUUUAGGCAUUUAAUACGAAAUCCAAAAGGAGGGCAUCUACUUUAACUUUUCUUCAGUAUUACAUUAUGGGAUAGGUUCAUAUUUGUUCCUCGUGUCCCGGCCGCUUUUAGAGCCCAAAGACAGACAAGGACACUUAGAUGCCGCUCAUACCCUGUUUUCAUUAGAAAUAAGUGAUGUUACACAGUCGUUUUCAGCUCUACAAUCUCUGUGUUUGUUUGUGUAUGUCUGAUCCUCGGAUUGUAACAGAUGUGGAGAUCCACACAGAGAGCAAAGUCAAACAAAUUGGGUUAAAAUGAAGAUGCCAGACUGCAAAACACAAUAACGGAGUCCGUGUUGCCCCGCAGUCAUAAUAUUGUUGCCCUUUACUGAGAGCUACAGUAAAAAAUUGCUUGUCUGCUUCUGAAUACUGGAAGUAACAAUCUCCAUCUGCGGCUCCGCUUUGGGCGCCUGAAGUUUAUUUUCUGAGAGGGAAGAGAUUAUUGAAUUUUCUCAGGUUACAUACUCCAUUUUUCAUUCAUGUUACAUUUUCUACGUGUAUUCCCAAACUUACGCAGUUUCAGCCUUAUGUGGGAUGAAUUUUCAGACCAGAAGUAUGAACAUUUACGCCUUUACUGUCUUCAACUAUGUGUGCAAUUAUCAGAGCACAAGUUACUCAAGUCAAACUCAAUUCAAAUAAAGUAUUUUGACUUCUUUUUAGUAUAUCUACCCUCGAAUAACAACAUCCAACAUUAAUCCUGAGUCUUCUUAUCGUACUGACAAACACGGACACACACAUGUCCCCCUGCACUUUAUCUCGUCGAAACAUCAACCGGCACAUUGUGUGGCGUAAAGUGCUCCUCUAAUGUCAGCUUGCAGGCUACAUGGCUGAUUAUCUGCUCAGCUGCGGCUCAUUAAACAUCAUGUAAACAGACCUGAUAAUGUCACUUUGUUACAGUGACGUGCGAGUCGAGUUCAAACACUUUCGAAACACCUGCUUCACCUUGAUAAAAACUACACACUUAAUCAAAGGUUUUUCGCUGGUUAUGAAAAACAGACGGAAUAAAAAAACUUUAAUGAGCUACAGAAAAAGAGACUAUCAGGGACAAGACUGAUUACUUUAUGUAGUUAGUACUUGAUGUCUGUAAUCAUUGCCACCAGGCAGGUGUCACACAAAGUGAAUUACGACAAGCUGCAGAGACAGCCUUUGCUUAUAUUAUCAAGGGUCUGUACUAUGAAGCUGGAUUUGAUCUUAGUAAACAGGUACACAAUCAGCCAGUCGGCCAUGUUGGAUAUACCUGUGAAUCUGACGUCGCAACAACACGCAAUCUGAUCAGUGGAAGUGGACACAGUAUGCGAAACUUUAGAAAAAUCGAUCAUGAUCCGAAAAAAUAAAUGCUGCAAUAUCGCAGGAAGGGAAAAACGUCCGAAACGAUAGUGAGACUGAAUAUGCUGGAACAUUGACUAUGAGGUGCAAAAAACUGGUGAGGAGACAGUGAGACACAUGAGGUUAAAUACCGUUAACGAGGGUGAUGGGAAACAGGUGGGGAGACACAAUCAGGCUGCAGGUGUGACAAGACGAGCGCAGGGCAGAUCAGACAGGAACAAAUCUAGAAGACAAAAACAAGGGUUAGUGAACCACCAGAAUAAAACAGGAAAGACAUGACAUGAAACGAAACAUGAAUGUGCAAAAAUAAAGGAAAAUUAAUUUACAUUAACCGAUGUGAUGCAAUGAAGAAGACGAUGCUAUAAAGUAUAAGAGGGCGCAAUACAACACAGCAAGAUUGGACACAAUACCAUAUGAUGCAGUGUGAUAUGUUGCAUCAAUGCAAUACAAAAUGUUAUCUGAUUCAUGAUGAUGAGAUGCGAUGGGAUACAAAUUAAUUUAUUAUUGGUCAAAAUGGAGAGGUACGAUGAAAUAUGAUAUAAUACAAUAAAAGGUAACCCUGUCUUUUGCAGUACACUUAUUACCAGGUAAUUAAUAGGUAAUAACCUAGUAACAACAUGAAAUUAACUGGUAAUUACAUGAUAACUUGAUUCAGCCUAUGGGCGUGCGAAGAUUGCGUAGCGAUACGCUGUUUGAGCCGAGCAUUAUCACAGCGACUCACCCGGUGAAUGCUACUGCGCAAGUGGUGGUUCCAGGAAGCGGAAAAAAUCCUGGAAAUACCAGAGUGAUUCGGCUUCAAAUUUGUAUAAUGAUGGAAGGUUAACUACCUGGUAGCUAGACAGUAUUGAUUUAGUAGUUAUCAUGUAAUUACCAGAUAAUUUCAUGUUGUUACUAGGUUAUUACCUGUUAAUUACCUGGUUAUAAGAAAGGGUUACCUUUUAUUGUAUUAUAUCAUAUUUUAUCAUACCGCUGCAUUUUGACCAAUAUCCUGAUAUUUGCUGGUAUUUCCCAUCAUGAUUUUGAAGACUCUUUUUGGUUUUCUUCCUGUGUAUUUAUUUCAUUUAAUCUUGUUGGUUGCAGGUUUGAAUUCAGGAACUGAGCUACUGAGCAUGACAGCGAUAAUGUCUCAGAAUAGUUGUUAUUAACACUUUGACAGGGUGUGAAGAUAAAGUACACAAGCGUGAUGCAUCCAUAUAUCUGUUUUUAGCAUAUGUUUUGCUGCGAUUAAGCUACUUUAACAAUACCUCAGACUAUUUGAUAAGAUAGUUAAAGCAUACCCUGUGCUACUUUUAAUGUAACACACAUGGACUCUAAAUCAUAAGCACCACAUGUGUGCAGAGAGAGUCGGAGUCUCUGUCAGGAGUGCAGGAGUUUUGCCAGAGGGCUUCAUUAACUGUUUCCCAGCAGUUUAUGAGUCAAUGUCCAAUUUUGUCCACUCCCUGAAAUAAACAGUAUUUUCACUGGAG
RNAcentral lists this long non-coding RNA (3509 nucleotides) under Xyrichtys novacula (pearly razorfish). Lineage: Eukaryota; Metazoa; Chordata; Actinopteri; Labriformes; Labridae. The record is from RNAcentral.